This 433-nucleotide ribosomal RNA is filed under the name uncultured bacterium. Its description in RNAcentral is "partial 16S ribosomal RNA". It matches the Rfam family "Bacterial small subunit ribosomal RNA", at positions 29 to 507 of the family's 1533-position model. The record is from RNAcentral.
AACGAACGCUGGCGGCAUGCCUAACACAUGCAAGUCGAACGAGACCUUCGGGUCUAGUGGCGCACGGGUGCGUAACGCGUUGGAACCUGCCCUUAGGUUCGGAAUAACUCCCCGAAAGGGGUGCUAAUACCGGAUAAUGUCUUCGGACCAAAGAUUUAUCGCCUUUGGAUGGGCCCGCGUUGGAUUAGCUAGUUGGUAGGGUAAAAGCCUACCAAGGCGACGAUCCAUAGCUGGUCUGAGAGGAUGAUCAGCGACACUGGGACUGAGACACGGCCCAGACUCCUACGGGAGGCAGCAGUGGGGAAUAUUGGACAAUGGGCGAAAGCCUGAUCCAGCAAUGACGCGUGAGUGAUGAAGGCCUUAGGGUUGUAAAGCUCUUUUACCCGGGAUGAUAAUGACAGUACCGGGAGAAUAAGCUCCGGCUAACUCCGUG